RNAcentral lists this ribosomal RNA (492 nucleotides) under uncultured bacterium. Its description in RNAcentral is "partial 16S ribosomal RNA". It matches the Rfam family "Bacterial small subunit ribosomal RNA", at positions 29 to 507 of the family's 1533-position model. The record is from RNAcentral.
AGUGAACGCUGGCGGUAGGCCUAACACAUGCAAGUCGAACGGCAGCACAGUAAGAGCUUGCUCUUACGGGUGGCGAGUGGCGGACGGGUGAGGAAUACAUCGGAAUCUACUUUUUCGUGGGGGAUAACGUAGGGAAACUUACGCUAAUACCGCAUACGACCUACGGGUGAAAGCAGGGGAUCUUCGGACCUUGCGCGAUUGAAUGAGCCGAUGUCGGAUUAGCUAGUUGGCGGGGUAAAGGCCCACCAAGGCGACGAUCCGUAGCUGGUCUGAGAGGAUGAUCAGCCAUGCUGGAACUGAGACACGGUCCAGACUCCGACGGGAGGCAGCAGUGGGGAAUAUUGGACAAUGGGCGCAAGCCUGAUCCAGCCAUACCGCGUGGGUGAAGAAGGCCUUCGGGUGGUAAAGCCCUUUUGUUGGGAAAGAAAAGCAGCAGGUUAAUACCCCGCUGUUCUGACGGUACCCAAAGAAUAAGCACCGGCUAACUUCGUG